AAUAACAAAAAAAUAUAAUCAGUAAGAGACAAACGAAAAAAGGUCCGUUUUUUUCAUUUUCUGAGACCGGAAGUGGUCAUCAGCAAGUGUGGAGCCAAACGACAACAAGAUUCUCAGAGGGCGGAGCCAGAGAGCAGUGAUUGGUCAGACUGACUGAGAGCCAGAGAGCAGUGAUUGGUCAGACCAUAGACAAUAUAGAAGACAGCGCGCUAGCGUAUCUAGUCUAUGUAUAUCUAUGGUCGGCACGUCUGGUAGCAUCUCUGGCUGCUGUUGACCUUGUUUUUGGAGUAAAACACGGUGGAAGCUGAAUUAGUGAGGAUGACUCCUGCUCCUGUCAUCUCUAAGCUCCUCACACAUCUUUACCUGCACAUGAGGAAAAUCACUCCUGUAGAAUGCAGAUGCACAAUGAGGGACGUCUGCAGAGACUGAGAAAGAGUCUCACCACAUCCUGACAUGAGGAAAAAGACUUUAUUGAAGACUACAAUGAGAAAAACUAUCAGACAGCAGACGGCUGCAUUCAAGGUGAGCUCUGAACAUCUAAUCUGGAACAGGAAUUCAAUAACGGAUGAAUCAUCUGGCACUAGAGAAGAAGACCAUCAAACAUCCACGUCAGCUGAUGGAGGUCCAAGAGUCUCACCGAACAACCAACCAACAGAGUGAAGACCUCAAAUCUGAUUGGACGGCCUCCUAUUCAGCCAUAUGUGUGAACAAAUGCCUCUAAGCUGAUUUAUUUUCUAAAAUAAAUCUAGUUUGAGUCCUAAUCUAUGCCUGUGUGUUUGCUUCUUUACACCGCUGUUAACAGUUUAGGCUGUUAGAUUGUUCCAGAUAAGACAAGUACAAGAUACUUCAGAGCCGUUCUACCACGAGCCUGACAGGAAGAACUCCAACAGCUACUGAAUGUUCCUGUGGUC
Long non-coding RNA from Amphiprion ocellaris (clown anemonefish), 911 nucleotides. RefSeq lists it as uncharacterized. The record is from RefSeq and is a predicted model, not a curated record. Lineage: Eukaryota; Metazoa; Chordata; Actinopteri; Pomacentridae. The transcript has 3 exons.